This 77-nucleotide transfer RNA is filed under the name Mollicutes bacterium. RNAcentral describes it as "tRNA-Met". It matches the Rfam family "tRNA". From Rfam's summary of the family: Transfer RNA (tRNA) molecules are approximately 80 nucleotides in length. Their secondary structure includes four short double-helical elements and three loops (D, anti-codon, and T loops). RNAcentral also lists the same sequence under 3 other names. The record is from RNAcentral. Lineage: Bacteria; Bacillati; Mycoplasmatota; Mollicutes.
GGCGAUGUAGCUCAGCUGGCUAGAGCGAUCGGUUCAUACCCGAUAGGUCGGGGGUUCGAUCCCCUCCGUCGCUACCA